Molecule: long non-coding RNA, 862 nt
Organism: Rhododendron vialii
Lineage: Eukaryota; Viridiplantae; Streptophyta; Magnoliopsida; Ericales; Ericaceae
Exons: 2
Source: RefSeq, a predicted model, not a curated record
CCUAAACAACCAAAAACCCAAAAUCCGGAUUCAAAGAAACACAAACACAAUCUUAAAAGGUAGGAUACUCCUGUAAACUCUCAACUGGAACGUCAGGAGGGGCCAAUAUUGCAAGUACAAGUCGAAAAUUUCUUCCUCUUCUAUGGGGCUUUGUGGAGUUGUUUGUUUCUUUUAAUUAUGUGGCCGUUUGUUGGACCUGUGAUUGAAAAGCUGGAAACUAAAAACUAUCAAAAUAUACUGAGAAUUGAUCAUUUCUUUCUUUCUUUCUUCUUCUUUUUUUUUUCCCCCUGUUUUGCGAUUUUCAAUACCUUUUUUCCACAGUGGCAUACACAGUUUGACCUAGUUAUUAUUUCCAAAAACUUCAUGAGCUAAGGACAGUGAAGCAGAAGCAAACACCCGACUUGGUAACACCAAGUAGUUGGUUUCAUAGGUAAUUACAAGGAUUUCCCAGUCGUUUUUGGUAAAAUGGUAUUUCCAAGAGGCCGGGUAAAAUGGUAUUGUUAGCUAUUUUGACUAAUCAAAUACAUAAACUGAGUUCUCCAACAGUUUCAAUAGGGGCUAGGUGAAGCCAUUUUUGUUACAGUAACUAGCUAUAAAAGUAUAAAUACUCAGGUACUAUUCACUAGUAAUUGCCUUUAUUUGGCUGCUACCACUUGCAGCCGGUGGAUCAUAUUCACGUGUCACCACCAUUGAAUUGCUGCUAAGAGCCCUUAAAUCACAACCCCUGUAAGAAAUGGCCCAGGCCGUUUUCAUGACUGAAUUUGGCCAAAGAUAUGGCCAAGCCAGUUUUUGGCUCCCAAAAUGGGUCCAUUGGAGAGAGAAUUCAGGUCGGGAAGCCAAAAUAUGGCUUUGGCUCCCAAAA